RNAcentral lists this ribosomal RNA (655 nucleotides) under fungal endophyte. RNAcentral's name for it is "eukaryotic LSU rRNA". The stretch from base 164 to 317 matches the Rfam family "5.8S ribosomal RNA". The record is from RNAcentral. Lineage: Eukaryota; Fungi.
AUUACAGAGAAUCUUCUCUUAAAACCCUGUGAACCUACCUUUGUUGCCUCGGGGGGCCGCCCGGGAGGCCGCGUUCUGCGCGGUACCCGGGAGCCACGGCGCCCCGGUGGCCCUUCAAACUCUUGUAUUGUAUGGCCUAUCAGAAACACUAUGUAAUAGUUAAAACUUUCAGCAACGGAUCUCUUGGUUCUGGCAUCGAUGAAGAACGCAGCGAAAUGCGAUAAGUAAUGUGAAUUGCAGAAUUCAGUGAAUCAUCGAAUCUUUGAACGCACAUUGCGCCCCCUGGUAUUCCGGGGGGCACGCCUGUCCGAGCGUCAUUUCGACCCUCCAGCUCCGCUGGGUGUUGGGGAUCUACGGAGACGUAGGCCCUGAAAAAUAGUGGCGGGCUCGCACAUACCCGGACGUAGUAAUGCUGUCGUCUAGGGGCUGUCGCGGGUGCUAGCCGUGAAACUGACGCAAGUCACUUUUCAGAAGGUUUGACCUCGGAUCAGGCGGGAAUACCCGCUGAACUUAAGCAUAUCAAUAAGCGGAGGAAAAGAAACUAACAAGGAUUCCCCUAGUAACGGCGAGUGAAGCGGGAACAGCCCAAAUUUGAAAGCUGGCCGUAAGGUCCGCAUUGUAAUUUGGAGAGGAUGCUUCUGGUGAGGUCCUGACU